CAAAUCUGGCUUAAGUUAAGAGUAGAGGCAAACGGCUAUUACUAUCUGCUGGCUGCUGGGCAGCCUAUGCAAAAUGAGCCCUUAGUUUUUAGGACUGUUCCUAUUAGAUAAAUUCUCACUUUGUAAAAUCACCUCUGUAACCAGAAACCUUCAUCAGCAAUCUCAGUGUCCUAGACAUAUGGAAAUAGAGAAACACAAAGGCUUAUUACUGAUAAAUUAGUUCUUUCCCAUCAGUGCAGGGAUGAGGUUGCUGAUGAUGAACUACAUUGCAGUUAUGCCUAAAGUAUUCCUAAAGUACUGGUGUUUUGUCUAGAGGUUUCUACAUGCCAAGAAAGUCUUUUUCAUUAUUUCCCAGGAGGCCCAGAUCUAAGUGUAGUAGAGGAUUUUACAAUUAGUCUAUUUUCUCAUGAGAUGCAGCCUAAAUUUUUCUUCUUUUUAACUCAAUCACAUAUUUUUUAGCUUAAACUCUCUUCUGCUCCAUAUAAUUCUUGUCUCUGCUGCUGUCUGAAUCUUAGUAGUUAAGUUUACAACGCCUCUACCUCCCCCUACAUCACAGAACUAAAUGUUUUCAGUGUUUUCUCCUCCCCAGCUCCUUCCCCCCCCCAUCACAAGCUUCCAUGAUUACCAUUUUAUCCCAACCUCACAUCUCUGAUAGCUGAUUCAUUUCUAGUUUACAUCCUGUUCUUCCCAGACCCCAUCAGGUCACACAGCAGACUGACCCGUAAGACGAAUGCUGCAGCCCAGGGGUGGUACAGCAGGGUGGUAGUGUACGGCAGCCCUCAGUGGGAGCUCUGCUAAGCCUAGAGUCGAGGCAAAAUGCCUGAUUGUACAGUGCACAAAUAUGUGAGACAAAGGAGAAAGAGCAGGAGAAGGAAACAGGGGUAGAAACAUACAGAUUUGUUCACCACUUAAAGCAUGACACUAAAGUCCACCAAGCUGCCCUAGCUUGAGAGGAGAAUUAGGUCCUUGUCACAGCCCAUUGUUCCUUCUUUUCCUUACAAUAUUGCUUGAUUACAACUGCGAUUUCAUCAUUUCUGAACUUGUAAUUUGGAUAUGGCUUGCACUUUUCCGUCAUGGUCUGUGCUAUGCACCAUGGUGCGAGGAAGUCCCCAGAGGCCAUUUCAGACCCUUCCCCUUCCCCCUGAACCAUGGCUCGGGCACCUCACAAAAAUUACCUGCAGACCUGAUCGUAAAGGAUGAUUCAAUGAUGAACCUUCUUCUUUAGACCUUUUCUUAGAAACUGUUCAGCCCAUCAUUUCGGAAAGCAAAUAAGCAUGAGAGAUUCAUAGCAGCUUUCGGACUAAUCACAGACCAAACAUUACUAUUUACUACCAUAUAAUAACCAAAAGCUGACAUUCACAGCCAAAAGUCACAGCCAAAAUUCUUUCUGGCAAACACACAGACAAACUUGGACCCAAGAAAAAUUGCACUGGCAAUCAGGGAGAUCACCUGGAUGCAGGAGUCUUCUUUUGUGGCUCAAAUAGCACAGUCCACAGUUCUCAUUUCAUCCUUUUGUUGGCAAGUAUAUUUCAACACCAGCUGAAUUUGUACAAUAUAUGUUUAAAAGUUAGGAUGGAAUAUAUCAGAAAUAUUUAACAGAUAUCCAAACACUCAGAGCUGAAGGAAAUUUUGGACUUUUGCUGCCAAUAUUAACUGGAACAGAAAAUGUUUUCUCUGUUUGCUCAUACAGGGAAAGUAAUUUCUUCAAAUAUGGAGAAAAAUAAAUUUUAGGACAGAACCCUAGGUUAUAUAGUA
This 1755-nucleotide long non-coding RNA is filed under the name Anser brachyrhynchus (Pink-footed goose). RNAcentral describes it as "lncRNA (ENSABRG00000022585.1)". Lineage: Eukaryota; Metazoa; Chordata; Aves; Anseriformes; Anatidae. The record is from RNAcentral.